CUGAAAGUCAACCUUAUUGUACUUGCGCUGGCUUUAUAUAGCCUUUAGGUCCCCUUAUGGUCUGUUUAAAAUAUUUUCAGUUUUUUUCCAAGGUGUGGGUAUUUCCCAGCUGUAACUCAAUGCCAAAAUAGCACAAUUUCUGCCAGGUAUGCAAACUUAUGUGCGCAUUUGUAUAACCACUAACACUAGCUAGAUGUGCAUGACUCUUACUGAAUGAACCAAAUGCAGCUGUACAAGUCAACUGCAUAUUGUUAUCUAGUCAAUCGUGCCGUGGGGUUAGAUUAGGGUUGCCACCUUCUAAGUGGAAAAAUAAGGGACACCUUGCCAGUGGUCCCAAACCUGGGGGACACAAAUGAAGCAGGGUCUGGGGGUCCUCCCCAAUGAGUGUCAGAUGCUUCAUUCCCUGCAUUCUGGUGAAUUUGGUCUUUUAUGCAUCAUUUUCAAAGUCCUCUGCUACUGUGAACUUGAAUAUAAUGGAGAUAGAGUAAAUAAGAGUAAAGAACAUUUGCAUCAAUUAUAUUAAGGAUUAAAACAUCAGAUCAUAUACAUGGGCAAGAUGUUUGGUCUUUCAAAAUAAACAAUUUAGAAUAUUUAGAAGAAGCAAGGACCCACCCUCUAGGAAAGAUGAUGUAGCCUAGUUUUGUCUGUUGCUGAUCCCAUGUUCUGGAAUAGUUUUCCAUCCCACAUUAAGUCCCGUUCCACCAUUGACAAUUUUGAAGAGAGAUGAUGUGAUGAAUUUCCUCCGGGAGCUUAAUCCUCGAGGGUGUGAGAACAGAGCACGCAGAAGGUUUACAAGAAGAACCUAUCACUCAAUGGGACCUAACUAUAUGUGGCACGCAGAUGGUUAUGACAAACUUAAGCCAUUCGGUUUGGCCAUUUCGGGAUGCAUAGAUGGAUUUUCACAUAAAGUAUUGUGGCUUGAAUGUGGACCAACAAAUAACAACCCAACAGUGAUUGCUCACUAUUUCACUAUGUCACCCCCAUGAGACUGAGGACUGAUUGUGGCACUGAGAAUGGCAUAAUGGCUGCAUUUCAAUGUACCCUACGCUCAUCUAUGAAUAACCAGCGUAUUGAGUCCUGGUGGUCUAUAUUUAGUAAGGGAAGGUGAGUUGUCUUCAUAAAGGGUCAUUGCAUCUUUAGUCAUUCGAUUUUUCUUCUCAGGAACGAGUGAUGAAAAAUUAGCACAAUAAAGAUCAAUAAAAAAUGUAAAACAAAUCCUUCCCGUCAGGAAAAGUAGUUGUUUCUGGAAAAAUGGAAUGACCAAAAGAUGCACAGACCAUAAAUGUCAUUACAACUAAACUUUGAUUUUAUUAUUCAAACAUGUAUAUACUUCAGAAGGACCUGGAUGAGUGUGUGAAACUGUGGAACAGUCACAGGAUUCGCCCUUCCAGAACAGCAGCAUGUCCAGGAGGAGUGCCCCAUGAACUCUACUACUUACCACACAGGUUUGGCUCCAGAGACUGUGGAUUUCAAAUUGAACAGGCUGAACUGGAUGCCCUUCCUGAGGCUAGCCUGUCAAUGACUCCUUGUGGGGACCCAAACAUGCAGGAGUACCUGGACUCUGCCAUGGAACACAAUCAGUUACAGAAGCCUGAGAACUGGGAGUCUGCAUCAGAACUGUACAUGAGACUAAAAGAAAUGGCUCAUCUAUGAAAUGAUCAAAAAGUUUUUUUCUUUAGUGGUGAAACACUGAAUUGUGUUCCCACAGGCAGCAGUGUAUAAG
Long non-coding RNA from Esox lucius (northern pike), 1723 nucleotides. The record is from Ensembl. NCBI's taxonomy places the organism in Eukaryota, Metazoa, Chordata, Actinopteri, Esociformes, Esocidae.